CAUUGACGCCGCUCUCUCGUUGCUGUCAGAAUCUAGAAGGUGCAGUCUCUCUCUCUCUCUCUCUCGCCCGCUCUCCUACGCCUUCAUCUUCAUCUUCAUCUUCAUCCCCAUUCUCUCUGUGUACCCAAAAAUCCCUUGCUGGCUUCUCUGUGAACGCGGAAACUAAGAUCGUUGACGCCGCUCCCUCAUUGCCGUCGGAAUCUGGUGAAUUGGUGACUUCUCCUGCUGGAGGCAGUUUUGAGCCCCAUAUAAUCACGGUUAACAGAGGUGAGAAUGGAUUCUCAAAUCAAGCAUGCCCUUGUGGUGAAAGUUAUGGGUCGCACAGGAUCAAGGGGUCAGAUGACCUAAGUUAGAGUCAGAGAGAGAAGCAAGAAGGUUGCGCUGAUGUCUUGUUUGCUAUGAAGAUUGUACUGAUUUUGUACUGAAGCAAGAAGGUUGUAUUGAUUUUGUUAGAAUGUGACUUAGAGUAGUUAUUUGAGUUUGACUUGUGGGUUCUGUAUUUGUUUUAACAUUCUUUGAAUUAAUAUUUCAUGAAAUUUUGUGAGGAUUAUGGCGAAAUGUAAGUAAUGAAAUGCUUUACUUACAUUACAUGAUUC
This is a long non-coding RNA of Diospyros lotus (date-plum), 596 nucleotides long. RefSeq lists it as uncharacterized. NCBI's taxonomy places the organism in Eukaryota, Viridiplantae, Streptophyta, Magnoliopsida, Ericales, Ebenaceae. The transcript has 3 exons. The record is from RefSeq and is a predicted model, not a curated record.